Molecule: ribosomal RNA, 580 nt
Filed under: uncultured bacterium
Lineage: Bacteria
Description: bacterial SSU rRNA
Rfam family: Bacterial small subunit ribosomal RNA
Source: RNAcentral
AGAGUUUGAUUCUGGCUCAGGAUGAACGCUAGCGACAGGCCUAACACAUGCAAGUCGAGGGGCAUCGGGGCGAGGAGCAAUCCUUGCCGCCGGCGACCGGCGCACGGGUGAGUAACGCGUAUGCGACCUGCCCGUUGCAGGGGGAUAAUCGGGAGAAAUCCCGUCUAAUACCGCGUAAUGCCGCGGGGCUGCAUGGCCCUGCGGCCAAAGGAAGCGAUUCCGGCAACGGAUGGGCAUGCGUGACAUUAGCUAGUUGGCGGGGCAACGGCCCACCAAGGCGACGAUGUCUAGGGGUUCUGAGAGGAAGGUCCCCCACACUGGUACUGAGACACGGACCAGACUCCUACGGGAGGCAGCAGUGAGGAAUAUUGGUCAAUGGGCGCGAGCCUGAACCAGCCAAGUCGCGUGAGGGAUGACGGCCCUACGGGUUGUAAACCUCUUUUGUCGGGGAGCAAAUUCCGCCACGUGUGGCGGGGUCGAGAGUACCCGAAGAAAAAGCAUCGGCUAACUCCGUGCCAGCAGCCGCGGUAAUACGGAGGAUGCGAGCGUUAUCCGGAUUUAUUGGGUUUAAAGGGUGCGU